Molecule: long non-coding RNA, 632 nt
Organism: Crocodylus porosus (Australian saltwater crocodile)
Lineage: Eukaryota; Metazoa; Chordata; Crocodylia; Crocodylidae
Source: Ensembl
CUGCAAGAGAUAAAAAUGGAGUAGUUUUGUUUGCUGGCUAUAAGAAAUGUAGCAGAAGACUAAGAGUCAGAUUCUAUUAAGUGUUUAGCAGACUAUUGAAUUCACAUAAUCACUAAUAGUUUCUGGAAGCUGUUCAGCGAGAAGACAUGGAAAUUACUAACUCAUAGCUGGUUCCUUCUAUGUUUAUCCCUUAGUUUGGUAAGGAUAUAUCAGCAACAGAGUGAAAUCCAGUCUUGUUGAAGUCAAUAGGCGUUUUGGCAGGAUUUCAUCUCAAGAUGCAUACAAACGUUUUAAAAUUUCUAUGAAAAAUAUAACUUCAUGGAGCAACACAACAAAAGCAACAUUAUAUUUCAUGAAUAAAUCUAGCCAUCAUUGAGAAAUAAUGGUCAAGAGGAUCUUGGCACUCCUUCUGUACAGACAUGAAGAAACAAAGAGUAUCCACUUACAUAUCAGGUAAGUAGAGCUAGUGCUGUUUUAUCUGAAGUUUAGUUGUGAAGGUCUUACGCCCUAACCCAAGUUUUUUUCUCUCUCUGUUCUGCUCUAUAUUUGAAACUGUUAGUCUGCUGAAGUUGAACCUCCUCUUCAGAGCAGACAAAUAGUUGGAGAAGCAGGAGAAACCCAGCAAUGUCCAG